Molecule: ribosomal RNA, 478 nt
Filed under: uncultured bacterium
Lineage: Bacteria
Description: partial 16S ribosomal RNA
Rfam family: Bacterial small subunit ribosomal RNA
Source: RNAcentral
GACGAACGCUGGCGGCGUGCUUAACACAUGCAAGUCGAACGGUAAGGCCCUUCGGGGUACACGAGUGGCGAACGGGUGAGUAACACGUGGGUGAUCUGCCCUGCACUUCGGGAUAAGCCUGGGAAACUGGGUCUAAUACCGGAUAGGACCACUGCCUGCAUGGGUGGUGGUGGAAAGCUUUUGCGGUGUGGGAUGGGCCCGCGGCCUAUCAGCUUGUUGGUGGGGUGAUGGCCUACCAAGGCGACGACGGGUAGCCGGCCUGAGAGGGUGACCGGCCACACUGGGACUGAGAUACGGCCCAGACUCCUACGGGAGGCAGCAGUGGGGAAUAUUGCACAAUGGGCGCAAGCCUGAUGCAGCGACGUCGCGUGAGGGAUGACGGCCUUCGGGUUGUAAGCCUCUUUCAGCACCGACGAAGCGCAAGUGACGGUAGGUGCAGAAGAAGGACCGGCCAACUACGUGCCAGCAGCCGCGGUAA